Molecule: long non-coding RNA, 249 nt
Filed under: Salvia miltiorrhiza (redroot sage)
Lineage: Eukaryota; Viridiplantae; Streptophyta; Magnoliopsida; Lamiales; Lamiaceae
Description: long non-coding RNA (SMIL_LNC004061)
Source: RNAcentral
GGGAUCACGGACGGCGGCAGAGCAUUGGGAUCACGGACGGUGGCAGAGCAUUGGGAUCACGGACGGCGGCAGAGCAUUGGGAUCACGGACGGUGGCAGAGCAUUGGGAUCACUGCAGAGCAGUGAAAUCACGGUAGGGCAGUGAAAUCACGGCAGAGCAGUGAAAUCAUGGCUGAGCAUUCCUCAGCUGCUUCCCUCCUUUGCUGCUUCCCUCCUUUGUGUGCAUUCCUUUGCUGCUUCCCAUCCAAGC